CCUACGGGGGGCAGCAGUGAGGAAUAUUGGUCAAUGGGCGGAAGCCUAAACCAGCCAAGUAGCGUGCGGGAUGAAGGCCCUACGGGUCGUAAACCGCUUUUGCACGGGGAUAACACCCUCCACUUGUGGAGGUCUGCAGGUACCGUGCGAAUAAGGGCCGGCUAAUUCCGUGCCAGCAGCCGCGGUAAUACGGAAGGCCCGAGCGUUAUCCGGAUUCAUUGGGGUUAAAGGGAGCGUAGGCGGGCGUUCAAGUCAGCUGUAAAAUCGCGCGGCUCAACCGCGCCCCGCAGUUGAAACUGGAAGCCUUGAGUUCACAAGAGGCAGGCGGAAUUCCUGGUGUAGCGGUGAAAUGCGUAGAUAUCAGGAGGAACACCGGUGGCGAAGGCGGCCUGCUGGACUGCAACUGACGUUGAGGCCCGAAAGCGUGGGGAGCAAACAGGAUUAGAUACCCCUGUAGUC
This 459-nucleotide ribosomal RNA is filed under the name uncultured bacterium. RNAcentral describes it as "partial 16S ribosomal RNA". It matches the Rfam family "Bacterial small subunit ribosomal RNA", at positions 338 to 795 of the family's 1533-position model. The record is from RNAcentral.